Molecule: ribosomal RNA, 253 nt
Filed under: uncultured bacterium
Lineage: Bacteria
Description: partial 16S ribosomal RNA
Rfam family: Bacterial small subunit ribosomal RNA
Source: RNAcentral
UACGGAGGGAGCUAGCGUUGUUCGGAAAUACUGGGCGUAAAGCGCACGUAGGCGGCGCAGCAAGUCAGGGGUGAAAUCCCGGGGCUCAACCCCGGAACUGCCCUUGAAACUGCAGUGCUAGAAUCUUGGAGAGGCGAGUGGAAUUCCGAGUGUAGAGGUGAAAUUCGUAGAUAUUCGGAAGAACACCAGUGGCGAAGGCGACUCGCUGGACAAGUAUUGACGCUGAGGUGCGAGAGCGUGGGGAGCAAACAGG